RNAcentral lists this ribosomal RNA (447 nucleotides) under uncultured bacterium. RNAcentral describes it as "partial 16S ribosomal RNA". It matches the Rfam family "Bacterial small subunit ribosomal RNA", at positions 330 to 792 of the family's 1533-position model. The record is from RNAcentral.
ACCAGACUCCUACGGGAGGCAGCAGUGGGGAAUAUUGGGCAAUGGGCGCAAGCCUGACCCAGCAACGCCGCGUGAAGGAAGAAGGCUUUCGGGUUGUAAACUUCUUUUGACAGGGAAGAGUAGAAGACGGUACCUGUCGAAUAAGCCACGGCUAACUACGUGCCAGCAGCCGCGGUAAUACGUAGGGAGCGAGCGUUGUCCGGAUUUACUGGGUGUAAAGGGUGCGUAGGCGGCUUGGCAAGUCAGUAGUGAAAUCCAUGGGCUUAACCCAUGAACUGCUAUUGAAACUGUCGAGCUUGAGUGAAGUAGAGGUAGGCGGAAUUCCCGGUGUAGCGGUGAAAUGCGUAGAGAUCGGGAGGAACACCAGUGGCGAAGGCGGCCUGCUGGACUGCAACUGACGUUGAGGCCCGAAAGCGUGGGGAGCAAACAGGAUUAGAUACCCGAGUA